CAUUGUCUGCAACAAUCAGAAUGAAUUAGCACUCUGUUGAUAAUACUAUUAUCAUGAACUUUUGGUCCAUAAGUGAAAUAUUAGCGUAAUAGCUUCUCAUACCGAGUAAGCUAAGAAAACAGAUUAGCACAUAAGUGAAGAAGAUUUAAGUCUAACGUGAUUCUCAAUGGAGAAUACUCCAAUGUGCUCCUAAUUACAGUAAGAAAGAUUCAUUAGGGACAGCGGAGCAGUAAUUCCUAAAGUGAUUCACCAAUCCUGAACAGUUCAAUGUCCUAAUAUAGGACCCUACUGUAAGAAUGAAUUAGGGAUGGUGGAGUGCAGUAAUUCUACUAAAGAAACUUGCAGAGUCCUGCCUCAUGGCUAAAAGGGGUGUAAUUGCAACAAAGAUAGGGAAGGUAAGAAUGAAUUAGGAAUGGUGGAGUGCAGUAAUUCUACUAAAGAAACUUGCAGAGUUACAGUAAGAAAGAUUCAUUAGAGACAGCGGAGCAGUAAUUCCUAAAGUGAUUCACCAAUCCUGAACAGUUCAAUGUCCUAAUAUAGGACCCUACUGUAAGAAUGAAUUAGGGAUGGUGGAGUGCAGUAAUUCUACUAAAGAAACUUGCAGAGUCCUGCCUCAUGGCUAAAAGGGGUGUAAUUGCAACAAAGAUAGGGAAGAUAAAGUAGGAGAAAGCAACAAUAUGAGGAACAUAAGACCCUCGUAUAUGGAAAAUGACAUAAGUUCAAUUGCUUUUCAACUCAAUAAUCUUGAUUUUUUAUUUAUCCACAAAAAUCAUUAUAUCGGCUUCAGAUUAGGUAACUUUUUGUUUUUAGUUUUAGUUUGCAUAAUUGGUAUGAGAUAAGCUUAAAUGGAGUACAUGGUUAAUGAGGAUUCAUUAGCCGACCCUGACUUGCUC
Molecule: long non-coding RNA, 893 nt
Filed under: Nicotiana benthamiana
Lineage: Eukaryota; Viridiplantae; Streptophyta; Magnoliopsida; Solanales; Solanaceae
Description: long non-coding RNA (NBEN_LNC040541)
Source: RNAcentral